CCUACGGGAGGCAGCAGUGAGGAAUAUUGGUCAAUGGACGAGAGUCUGAACCAGCCAAGUAGCGUGAAGGAUGACUGCCCUAUGGGUUGUAAACUUCUUUUAUAUGGGAAUAAAAUGUUCCACGUGUGGGAUUUUGUAUAUACCAUAUGAAUAAGGAUCGGCUAACUCCGUGCCAGCAGCCGCGGUAAUACGGAGGAUCCGAGCGUUAUCCGGAUUUAUUGGGUUUAAAGGGAGCGUAGGUGGAUUGUUAAGUCAGUUGUGAAAGUUUGCGGCUCAACCGUAAAAUUGCAGUUGAAACUGGCAGUCUUGAGUACAGUAGAGGUGGGUGGAAUUCGUGGUGUAGCGGUGAAAUGCUUAGAUAUCACGAAGAACUCCGAUUGCGAAGGCAGUUCACUGGACUGCAACUGACACUGAGGCUCGAAAGUGUGGGUAUCAAACAGGAUUAGAUACCCGGGUAGUC
This 460-nucleotide ribosomal RNA is filed under the name uncultured bacterium. RNAcentral describes it as "partial 16S ribosomal RNA". It matches the Rfam family "Bacterial small subunit ribosomal RNA", at positions 338 to 795 of the family's 1533-position model. The record is from RNAcentral.